ACACUCACACACACACUCACACUCACACACACACACACUCACACACACACUCGCGCACGCGCACCGCGUUUAUCUUCCAUUCACUGUGUGUUUAUGCUGAACUGCAGCAUCAUAAUGACUUUACACUGGGGGGGUUAGAUUAGCAUUAGCGUUGAUUAGCGUUAGCAUCUUGUGUUUUUGUAUUAAAGGUGUUUCGUUACAGCUGCGUUAAACACUAACUCUAACCACGGUGUUAAUGAGUGUGUUCUCUGUGUGACUACAGCGACCAGAGACACCGUCCUGCAGCACGACUCGCUCCAGCAACAGGAGUCUGAUGAAGAACAUGACUUUCUGAAGGAAGAACAACACGAGGAGAGAGGAGACACAGCAGCACACGACGGAAGUUGUCCUGAUGAAGGCACUUCGAGUAUAGAAGCUGAAAACGACGUCACUGUUGCUGAUGCAUCAUGGGAGAGCAGCGUGUUUGACUCUUCCCCACACAGCCUCCCGUACUCCGGAGCAGACAUCAGUGCAGGAACGUCCAUUAAUGAUUAUUUCAUGCACAGAGACGCCGUGUGUUCUUACGGCACCGAGGUCGGCUCUGUUAGUAACGCGACUUUUCCUGAAGGUCACUUCCCACACGCUGACGAGCGAAUCGUCUCUCAGUCCCACGCCGGCCCGUUUAAACCCGACAGGUUCGUGGCGUGUAAAUAUUGUGGGAAACAC
Long non-coding RNA from Pangasianodon hypophthalmus (striped catfish), 705 nucleotides. RefSeq lists it as uncharacterized. The transcript is spliced from 3 exons. The record is from RefSeq and is a predicted model, not a curated record. Lineage: Eukaryota; Metazoa; Chordata; Actinopteri; Siluriformes; Pangasiidae.